AGGACGAACGCUGGCGGCGUGCUUAACACAUGCAAGUCGAGCGAACCUUCGGGUUAGCGGCGAACGGGUGAGUAACACGUGGGCAACCUGCCCCAAGCUCUGGGAUAACCUCCGGAAACGGGGACUAAUACCGGAUAUGACUCUUGAAGACAUCUUCUUGAGUGGAAAGUUUUUCGGCUUGGGAUGGGCCCGCGGCCUAUCAGCUUGUUGGUGGGGUAACGGCCUACCAAGGCGACGACGGGUAGCC
This 247-nucleotide ribosomal RNA is filed under the name uncultured bacterium. RNAcentral describes it as "partial small subunit ribosomal RNA". It matches the Rfam family "Bacterial small subunit ribosomal RNA", at positions 26 to 288 of the family's 1533-position model. The record is from RNAcentral.